RNAcentral lists this ribosomal RNA (539 nucleotides) under Tetranchyroderma sp. 214385731. RNAcentral's name for it is "SSU rRNA". It matches the Rfam family "Eukaryotic small subunit ribosomal RNA", at positions 78 to 616 of the family's 1831-position model. Lineage: Eukaryota; Metazoa; Gastrotricha; Macrodasyida; Thaumastodermatidae. RNAcentral also lists the same sequence under 1 other name. The record is from RNAcentral.
ACAGUGAAACCGCGAAUGGCUCAUUAAAUCAGUUAUGGUUCCUUAGAUCGUGUCCAUACUUGGAUAACUGUGGUAAUUCUAGAGCUAAUACAUGCAACAAAGCUCGGACUAACGGAAGAGCGCAUUUAUUAGACCAAAGCCAUCCGGCCCCGUGCCGUUUGACUGGUGACUCUGGAUAACUACAAGCAGAUCGCAGGGCCAUGCGCCGGCGACAGAUCUUUCAAAUGUCUGCCCUAUCAACUAUCGAUGGUACGUGCUAUGCGUACCAUGGUUGUAACGGGUAACGGGGAAUCAGGGUUCGAUUCCGGAGAGGGAGCAUGAGAAACGGCUACCACAUCUAAGGAAGGCAGCAGGCGCGCAAAUUACCCACUCCCGGCACGGGGAGGUAGUGACGAAAAAUAACAAUACGGGACUCAUGUGAGGCCCCGUAAUUGGAAUGAGUACACUUUAAAUCCUUUAGCGAGGAUCAAUUGGAGGGCAAGUCUGGUGCCAGCAGCCGGGGUAAUUCCAGCUCCAAUAGCGUAUAUUAAAGUUGCUGC